Long non-coding RNA from Episyrphus balteatus (marmalade hoverfly), 8746 nucleotides. RefSeq lists it as uncharacterized. The record is from RefSeq and is a predicted model, not a curated record. The transcript has 3 exons. NCBI's taxonomy places the organism in Eukaryota, Metazoa, Arthropoda, Insecta, Diptera, Syrphidae.
AUACAAUAUAUUAGAAUGAAUUAAAAACAAAAACAAAAUUGAACCUAUUUGUAAAUAUAAUGCUGUUAAUAAUAAUGUUCCUUAAUAAAAAUAUAAUAACGUUCCUCAAUAAAAAAAAAAAUAAUGAAAAAAUUGUAAUGUUAUAAAAAACAAACAAAGUAAUUCUUAGAAUAUAAAACUAUAUUUGUUAAGUAUUUUUAAGAAAUUGUUCAAUAAAAAUAGUUUAAUCUUGUCGAUUGUCAUCCGGUUGAUCGUGAGUUCUUUCUCCGGGUGGGGAGGGAUGUUGUAUCUCCUCCUAUACCUACCAGAGGAAAUCGUCGUGCGUUGAACUCAGCACACUUCAAUUGUGUUGUACUCUUUGAUUGCCAAUUCGAUAUCAUAUUACGGAUAUUGUUUUGGGUCAAUCAAAGUGCAAUCAUACAAUAGUUGAAUUGUGCUGACUCUUUUAACGUGCCGACGAUUAUCCACUGCGAAUGUUUGGGCUUGCGGUCACCAAAAUGACACGACAAGAUUGGUCUUGAUCAAACAUUCAAUGAAGUCGGUCGCUUUGCUUUCUUUACAGUUAGAACACUUUAACUUGUUGUUGGUGCUGUUGUUGUUAAUAUUGUUUAUGUUGUUGUUGAUGCAGCAUUUGUAUUUGAUGUUGUUGGUGUUGCUUUUGCUGCUGCUUUUGUUGUUGCUGUUUGUUUUGUUGUUGAAGUUGUUGUUGUUGUUGGUGUUGGUGUUGGUGUUGGUGUUGCUGUUUCUGUUGUUGUUGCUGUUGAGUUUGGUGUUGCUGUUGUUGUUGGUGGUGUUGAUGGUGUUUUUGUAGUUUUUGUUGUUGUGGUUGUUGUUGUUGUUGUUGCCGCUUCCGCUGCUGUAGCUGUUGCUGCUGCUGCUGCUGCUGUUGCCAUAUCCGCUGUUGUUGUUGUUGUUGUUGUUGUUGUUGUUGUUGUUGUUGUUGUUGUUGUUGUUGUUGUUGUUGUUGUUUUUGUUGUUGUUGUUGUUGUUGUUGUUGUUGCUGUUGUGGUUGUUGUGGUUGUUGUUGUUGCUUUCGUUGUUGUAUUUAUUAAUGUUGUUGUGGUUGUUAAUGUUGUUGUUGGUGUUGUUGUUGCUUUUGCUGCUGCUGUUGUUGAUUUUGCUGUUGGUGUAUGUCUUGGUGUUGGUGGUGUUGUUGGUGUUGAUAAUGGUGUUGGUUUUGGUGUUAAUGUUGUUGGUGUUGUUGUUUCUGGCACUGUUGUUGCUGCCAUAGCCACUGUUGUUGUUGUUGAUGGCGUUGUUGUUGUUUUUGUUAGUGUUGUUGUUUUGUGAGUUGAUGUUUGUUUAUUUUCUCUAUGAUUUGCUAUUCUGAGUUCGUUGGAUUGCUGCAACCGGGCUCCUUACCUUCGUUGUUUUUAGGCGACAGCGUUCUGUUCAGAUAUUCGUUCGUACUCUGCUGUGUUGGGUUUAUAGCUUGUUUUUUGGAUUCAGUUCUGUUGAUCCAAUUAUAGUUGUUUUUGUUUUUGGUUUACUGAUGUUCGUAACUUUUGACUGUUGCGGGGGCGAAUUUUUUGUAGAGCGGGUUCUUUUUCUAGAGUUUUCUGAGUCGUAGUCUGUGCUUUCUUUCCAAACUUUUCCGUCUACUACUAAUUCAUCCAGAUUAAAAUAUGCUCUUUUACCUUGUUUUUUGAACUCGAUCAGUUUUGGGACCAGAGGUUUUCUAGCCUCAAGGUGCGAUUUCGGGAGAUCCUCUGCGAUACUGUAAUUAGCAAUCGAUUUUUUCGUUUGGAGAAUCUUUUUUUUUUGUUCGUAGCUUUUGAAUGUAAGACGAAUUGGUCUUGUUUUUUCUUGGGUAAUUUUUCCUAAACGGUAGCAGUUUUCAAUGUCAUUUAUUGUUCUUCGAUGCUAUUAUUUAUGAUAUUAAUAACAAGUAGCUACUUUGAGCUCAUCUGCAUUUGAUUCAGUUUCUUCUACUUUAAAAAUUACUAAAUUACUUUUUCUUAGUCCUACUUCUAGCUGCGCUAUUCUUUUUUCUUGUUUAUAACACAUAAUUUCUUGUUUUUCUAUUAUAUUUCCCUGUGUUUCCACGAUUUUCUCCAGCUUAUCCACUCUUUCUGAAAUGAUUCCUACUUUCUCAUCCGUAUUUUUAAUCACUCUGUCGGUGGCUUCAUUAAUGUUUUAAAGAAUUUCCUCUUUUUGAUUUUUUAAAAGGGAUUUAAGAUCUUUCAAAGUAAUAGUUGCCAUUUUUUACUUCAGCAGUACUUUUUUGAUACUUGAUGCCGGCCCUGGAUGAUUUUCUACUAGCUCGUUAAGCUAAUGGGUAAGAGAUUUAUUUCUACUGUCAGCUGUCAGAUAGCUCGUUUGUCAAAUGCUAUUAAAUCAGAGUUCAGUGUGGUGGUUUUUUGUUUGUUCUUUUUUUCCUUUUCCAAAACGUAUUUAAAUAAUUGUUUAAUUUAUCAUUUCGAGAUUUAAAUAAUUUAAUUAAUUGGAUUUAUUCUCUAUUUAAUAAAUGUUAAGAUGGUUCUAGUUUUUGAUGUUUUGCUUCUGUGUAUAAGAGAGGAUGAAGUGGAUGUACUCACCGUAUAGAAUGAGUUUCUGGAAGUGUCCCGUAUAGUUUGAGGAGUUUAAAUAUAAAUUAAUUAUUUUGAAGAUUAUAUUCAAUUUCUUUUUGAAAAAAAACCCGUAAAAUAUCUUUAAUUUCAACCAAAACUUCACAAUUUUCAAGCCAAUACUUAGGCACACUUCUUAAGACCAAAUUUCAAUCUAUACAAACACUGUUAUCUCGAAAAUUUUCUUCGUAUCUCAGGAGCCAAAUCAAAUACGUCCUUUUUCAGCCACACCAACAAAAAAAGAGUCAAAGCCAUAUAUAAUAUAUAUUUUUAGAGGUGCAAUUUAUAAGAAAGGAAGAAAAAAGUGCAGUUCAGAGGCAUCUAAAAUGUUGUAUUUAAUUUUGUCAUGGUUAUUGUUGUUUGUUCCUGCCGCUAUAGAUGCUUGACCUCAUCCUCCUCGGUCGCAAGUACCGAACUGAAACAAUAUGGAAGUGGGUGUGCCCUAUAAAUAAGUACACUUGUUGAUCUUCUACCGAAAUAAAGGCGUUUGGGACCAUAUAGCAAGCUUUCCUAUAAUAGACUCGCAUUAUUGCAAUGCUAGUACAAGCAGGAAGCCACUUAAAUAUAAGUAAAUAAAAUAUAGGGCUUUACAAGGAAUCUUCAUAUAAUCCCGUCAAACAACAUAUUUACUGACGGGAAUUCAAUUACAAUUUUAACUUGUCGUUUUAUAAGCCAAAAAAGGAUCAGUGCGACUGAUGUUAGAUUUUCAAGGCAAACACAAACCCAAGAGUUACACAGCGGUCGUAGUGAUGACGAUAUUGCUAGUUCCAUUUUUAAAAUUUUGGGUCAAAUAUUCUCCGACAACCCUUUCAUUAAAACUUUAACUCUUUGGAGUGAUUCCUGUGUCUCCCAGAACAAAAACAAAGUGAUGUCUACUGCUUUGAUUUCUUUUUUGCAACAUAAAACGUCUCUAAAAACAAUAACAAAAAAAUUUUCGGAACCUGGAUCCUGGACAUUCCUUGAUUCAAGAAAUAGACUGCGUCCAUACCUCCAUCGACAAGUACCUUCGGCACUUAGAAGUAUUUAGUCAGCUUUCUCUCUUGUGACAUCUCAAAAAUAAUAUGAAUUUUAAAAACGUUAAAUUAAAAUUAAUUUAAAUGCUGCCUAGAGACUUCAAAGCAUUCUCUGCUAAAGCUGGUCAGUUAAACUUCUGUUCUAUUCCAUUCAGUAAAAUUAAAUUUAUCAAAUAUAUUACAGAAGUGGAAUAUAAAAGCGCAUCAAUAUUUAAAAGAUACAAAAAUUCUACCAUAGCAGCUCCCGUAAAUUUGUUCAACCAAUGUCUUAAAAUUACUAAAAAAUCUAACUCGAUAACUAAGGAUAAGAAUAAUGAUAUUAAAAGCCUUUUCAUAUUUAUGCCUAAAUCAGACCACGAAUGUUAUGCAGCGUUAUUCAAAUCAAAAAAUUAGAAUAAAUUCUUAAAUUUGAUAUUUAUUUAAUUUUGCUUUUAUUUAUGAUCAUAAUAUUUAAUUAUUAAUUUAACCAAACUUUGUUUAUUUUUUUUUUAUUUUUUUUAAUUUUUUUUUCAUGUUUAUCGUCAUAGGAUGACCGAUUUUGUUUUUUUCUUUGUUUUUAAUCUAUUUAUUUUAAUAAUUAAGCCUCUAAGUCAAACCAAUACUACUUCUAUGUAAUAAGAAACUAUUUUUGUAAUGUUUAAUUAAUAAACAAAAACGAACUAAGAAAAUUGAAAAUUUACUUUUUUAAUUGUGUCUUAGUAUAUUGGAGUGUCAUACGUGCAUCUACUUUGUCGUACGUGUAUGGGAUGGAAAAUGGAAAAUAUGGGAUGGUGGCGUUUUCGACAAACUGAUUUUGGAUUGAAUUUAUCAAGACGCAUUCAUUUUUAAAAAGAAAAUUUACUAUUGAUUGUUCAUCGUUUUACCAAUUUGACAAUUACUUGGAUUUCUGUUUUUUGUUAAUUACGGAGUCAAGACUUGGGUCGAUAUUUAUUAUUUGGUAAUUUUUUAAACGGUGCAAUAAUAGCUGCGGAAGCACAUUUUGCAACAUUUCAACAAUGCAUUCCUUUUUUUGGAUUAAAACUUUCCCAUAUUAUUUAUAAUAAUUUUAUAAACAAAUCAUGGUGAAAUCAAACAGAACUCCGUUUUCUUGCUUGAAGGGAUUAACCAAAACAUCUACUAUUAGUAGACCACCACCUCCGAAGCCGAAGGAACAGGGCUCUUGAUGACAAGCCACGACUACAACACGCCAGACACUGCAAUCUGCAAUAAAUAACUUUUUGGCGCUUUGUCAUUUUCUUGCCCUUGGCUUUCUUUCUUCAAUUCUCCUUUUCGCACUUUUGAUCACGCUUCUUCUUCGACUUUGUGUUCAUACACAAUGUCUUGUAAAUGUGUGAGUGUAAACUUGUCUAAUCUCAGAUUUGGCGUUUCUAAAUGGAGCAAUAAUAUCUGAACUCAGUUUUCUUGCUUGAAGGGAAGGCAAGAAAAUGAGAAAACGCCAUUUUGUUAUUUAUUUGUUGCAAUUCCUCGCGUGUCACGUGCCGUGCUCGUGACUCGUCAUAAAUAUUAAUAACAAUAUUUGGGCCUAUUCGGCGAGAUCUUUUAUUCUGCUAUUCAGUUAUUCUUAUAUGAAUUUCCAAACAAAAAUCUAAUCUGUCAAAAAAUCUUUUAUGAUUUUCAUAUUUAGUAUUCGGCAUACACAAUCUGCUAUGAAAUCUUUUAUAAAAUCUUUAACGAAGUUCGAACUGUCAAAAAUUCUUUUACGAAUCUCAUUUUUGGUAUUCAGCAAGCCUUAAUCUGUUAUGAAAUCUUUUAUGAAUUAUAAAAGAAUAAAAGACAGAUUUUUGUUGCUUUUAUCAUAAAAGAUUUCAUGAAAGUAGCAAAUUUUCAAUAAAAGUAGGUGUUUUUUUAUAUUUAGCUUUGUUUUAUAAAUAACUGAGACGGAGGUUAGUUUUUUUAUUCGUAUAAUACCAUCAAGCAAUUAAAAAAAAAAAAAAACAAAGUUAAUUCAGAUACGACAAGUUAGUGACAAAUCUAAUGCAAAACUAAAAGCAUCAACCAAACACCAAGAUCACUUCACCCACUAUUCCGUCUUCAAUCAAGCAACUGCCAAAAGGAACGGUCGUCCUCGCCUCGACUCGACAUUGCAAUCCUAUUUCAUCUCCAAGAACUACCACCUCCUUGGAACAAAUUUUUCACUUGAUAUAAAUGAAACUAAGAAACACCAUGUUUAUUUAAAUUAUAAUUUAUUUCAUAAAUAAAAUGAAAACACAUAUUUUACAAAAAAUAGGGAAGUUAAAGCCUUAACUACAAUGACCUAAAAAGUGGUAAAUUUACAAAAGUAACAAUUUUUUAUUUUUUUCUAGCGCUAUUUGUUUUUGGAAAAAACUACAAAAAUUGUUUCUUAAAGCAAAAAAUAAGGUUUCUGCAUCAUUAUCUUUAAUUUUUUCAGUUUGAAUAUUUUCACUUUUUGACUUUUUUCAAAAAGUAACAAUUGCAUUUAAAUUAUUGCAAUCUUCACUGAGCACUUUAUCCAAUGUCCAUGUAAUAGGGUUGGUUUUGUAGCGGUGAGGUAUCUGCUCCAGAUUCUAAAUAUUUUGCGAAAUGCAAGAUGCACGCGAAUCUAAUUAUUUACUUAAAUUUUAUAGGAAGAAACACAAUUUUGCUGGAUGAUCUACGAGAAAAUUCAAUUCACUUUACUUUCCACAUUUCGAUUGGUUUUUUUUUUUCUUUGGGAAUGACAGAUGAUAAAAGAUUUAAGAUCAGUUUGCAGUUUGCUAUAAACAAAUAUAGCAGAUUUUCCUUUUCGAAGUUUCAAAACUGAAUUUUAUAAAAGUUCGAACUCCUGAAUACCAAUUAUAAAAAAUCUUUUAUCUUUGAGAUCGUUUAUCAUUCAUAACAGAAAAUUCAUAGCAGAAUAAAAGAUUUGGCAGAAUAGGCCCAAUUAUUAACUUUAAUUGAAAUAAAAAAAGCUAUGCAUUGCUGAUAUAACCCUAUUUAUCAAGUUCCUGCUAUUAAACACGGAGGAGGUGUGGGGUAAGUAUAAAAUACUCAUGAAAAGAAAUUAAUAGUAAAUUUUUGUUUAGGGUUUGUUUUCUCGAGAAGUGUGUCACUUGUGCCAAAUGAAAAGAAUAAAUCGGAUGAAUGCAGAAAUGUGCAAGGACAUUGUGGAAAACCAUAUGUUCCACAUUUUUAGUCCAAUAUCCCCGAAAACAGCUUGUUUACACUAGAUAAUGACCCCAAAAACACCAGCCGGUUAGAAAAAAGCUUUUUGAAAAUGACCAAUUUCGCUGUUCUGAAGUGUCUAACGCGAUCUUCAGACCCCAAUACCACAGAAAAUUUGUAGGAUCUUGUAGAUCGGGUGAUUAGAAACCGAAAGCAUUCAAAAUGCACAGUUCUGAUGGAGCAAAUUUGAUCAGAAUGUGAACAAAUACCAUAAAAUUUAUGAUAGUCUUUAAUAGACUCAAUACCAAAAAAAUCCGCGCCUUUGUUUCAAAUAAAGGGUUCCCAACAAAAUAUUAAUAAAAUAUGAACCUAAAAAACCAAAAACAUAAACAAAAAAUAUGAAUAAAUCAUUAUACUUUAUUGUUUUUUACACAUUUGCAUUUUUUUGCUCGGCUAAAAACGCAUCUUUAGGCAGACUUUUGACCAAAUAAUUGUCUUGAAGUAAGAUAUUCCACAAAUCGACUCUGUUUCGUGAAAAUAAAACAUUUUCAAUAUUGUGUGCCAAAUUUGGUAGCAUAACGAUGUAAAAUGACUUAGUUAUCAUGUAAAACUCUUUUCACCUUUUUCGUUUGCAUUUUUUUUGCUCGCUACUGUAUUUAAGCAAUUUACUAAUCAAUAAUAAUUAAUCUUUUUUUGGAAACAUUCUUCUCCGGCAAACCAAUCCACCAACAUUUAACAGCUACAAUUCAUUUCAACAAUUUAUCGAAUUGAAUGCAAUGCCAUUCCAGUUGCUGUAUCAACAGAAAAUGGCUAUAAUAAAUAAUAUAAUAGGUGUGUUUUUUAUUACCACCAGGCUUAACUGGACAAAAAAAACGCAUCGGGGCUUAACCUGAAAUCUUGGCAGCACUGUAUAUUGAAUUUUCCGAAAACACAAGACACAACAAAUAUUUAGAGUUAUCAUAUUUUUCGCUUUCGAGUUUUUUCUUUAUUUUCAUGUUUGUUUUACAAAAAAAAUACAAUAAUGGGCACGUUCAGGAAUUAUUAGGGACUAGAUAUUUAGGCAACGUCACUUUCUGAACGGAAAUUUGAGUAAAUUGACUAAAUUAGUUUGGAUAUGAUGCUAUUGUCAAAUUUUGAAAUUCACUUAAGUAUUUUACCGAUCGCAUAGGGAAGAAACCAAAUUUCAAUUAACUUUAAUGAAUAAAUAAUAUUAAUUAUAACCGAUAAUGCACUUUUUAUUCGUUUUUUACACAAAUAAAUUUAAUAUUGCUAAAUUGAUUCUUAAAUUAAAAACAAUCUGCUGUCAUGUUGACAAAAAAAGCUUUCCUAAAUUUUUAGGGAAAAUUUUCUUGCCUAACUUUCCAGUUGGCUUUCCAAUAAAAUUACCUAAAUUGGAAAGAUUUUUUUUGACAGCUGACCAAUCAGAGACCGAGAAAUUACCUAAAUAUUUAGUGCCUAACAUUUCUGAACCUGCCCAAUGUAUGCUAGUAAACCUAGUUAAAUACAUUUUAUCAUUCCAAACGUGAGUUUUCACGUUUGUAAACAAAUUCUAAACAGUUUCUGAAAAAAAUAGUUUGGUAGCACAGAUUUAAAACUGUUCAAAAAGUUAAGCCCAGAGAAAUCUCCGGGCUAAACAACUAAGCCCACGGGGCUAAAGUGUUGUUGUAUUUAAAAUGUAAGUUGUUUAGCCCCGACUGCGUUUUUUUUUUUGUCCAGUUAAGACCAGUUGUAAUAAAAAACACACCUAAUAUAAAAAAAUUUAGUGAAAAAUAGAAAAAAAACGUGGUCUCUUUUUGGUUGCAAAUGGCUUCAAAUACCAAUCGUCGGUCGUUCCUUUUUUCGAUUCCUUUUCUGGUACUUUUUAUGCUCCGACUCGGCUACGAGCUCGGGUCCAUUUUCUCGGAAUGGAGAAUUUCACCACACCAACACAUUUGCAAUCGGCUCCGCGGUGAUUAUAAUUUCCAUACUAAUUAGAGCCACGCGCCGUGGAGCCCGUUUCGUUAUCGAGCUCGGACUCGAGAUAUUUUAAAUCAAAAAAAUUUAAGUAUUUUAAUGAUGUGCAAG